CCAGCUGGCAGGAGCAAUCCUUUCCAUGAGAAAUGCCCAGUAUCCCGUCCCCCAUCCCAAACCUCAUGAACAUGACUCCCUUAUCAUCUGGCUUCAGAAGGACCUGCAUUUUAUUCUGAUGCAGGGAGCCUUUCCAAUCAGUGGACCCAGAUAUUUUCAGUUAACUUUAAGACAUAGGGUUAUAUCUAGGAUUCAGUGCCUACACUACAAAAUCCACUGCUCCUGUGGCCAUUUUUUUCCCUAUAGGACAGAGAGAAACUGAGAGGGGAGGGGAAAAUAGAGAGGGAGAAAGAUACCUGUAGAUGUGCUUCACCACUUAUGAGGUGACUCUCCUGCAGAUGGGUAGCCGGGGGCUCCAACUGGGAUCUUUGUGCGGGUUCUUAAGCAUUGUACUAUGUGCGUGUAACCCAGUGCACCACUGCACGGCCCCCAAAUAAAUAAAAUUUAAAAAAGAAAGAA
Molecule: long non-coding RNA, 459 nt
Organism: Erinaceus europaeus (western European hedgehog)
Lineage: Eukaryota; Metazoa; Chordata; Mammalia; Eulipotyphla; Erinaceidae
Exons: 3
Source: RefSeq, a predicted model, not a curated record